This 932-nucleotide long non-coding RNA is filed under the name Carica papaya (papaya). RNAcentral describes it as "long non-coding RNA (CPAP_LNC006648)". Lineage: Eukaryota; Viridiplantae; Streptophyta; Magnoliopsida; Brassicales; Caricaceae. The record is from RNAcentral.
AAAUAUGGCAGUAGUUAAAACUUUUGUGUUUUAUAUAAGAUUUACGAGUUUAAGUUUCACGAAGAUGUAAGUUUACAUUUUAAUAAAAAUUAAAACUAUUUUUUAAAAAUAUUAAACAUUGUAGAUUUUGAUUUUAAAAUCUUUAUUGUUAUUAUUAUUAUUUUUCACUAAAUGGGGUAUGUACGCUGAUGCAGUUGGAAACAAACACUACCCCUCGUAAGUGCAAGCGCACUCGUUUAAAUUAAGAUGGAAACUCAUGGGUCCUUGUGUGGUGCUUUAGGAUUGCUUAGCUAAUUUAGGAUAAACAAUGCUAAGGCUCAAGGGUAGUUGAGGAUAAGGAAACUUUUGGCUUCUAGAGUUAUUUUAAGAUACCUAUGAGGUUACAAGAUAGCUUUGCCAAAAGGUUGUGUAGGGUUUUAAAAUUGUUCUAGUGUUCUAGACAUAUCUUAAAAUAAUUAUGAGGUGUCGAGCUGUAUUAGGUCUUACUAAAGCUCUACAACUGCGGUGUUACAUCUAAAUCUAAAGGUUUUAGUCUUUUCUCUUUUUUUUAAUGUUAUGUCGCACUAAGAUAUAAAUUUUUUGUCCUAAAAUUUAAUUUAGUAUAGAUUUUAUUUUACUUAGUUAUAUGGCAAAUUUUCUACCUAGUACAAAUUUUAUACUUGAUGAAUAUUUCUUUGAGUUUAGGUUAUUACUUGAGGAUGUUUAAGCUUACAUUCUGCAUUUUGUUUCCUUUCUUUUGAGUUGGAUUCAAAAGUAUUAUAUGAAUAAUGCAUAGCUUAGCUAGAGAUGAGUAAGGACUUCUGAAAGAUAGAUAAUUGUUCAUGAACCUCAGUUUUUGCUUCACUUACUUGAGAAUGAUAGUUUUGGUCUCUUACUUGAGCAUGAUGUUUUUUAUUGUUAAUGAAUAAUGAUUUUUCCUUAAAAAAAAAUCA